UUGAGGGUGGGUGUUUUACGAGCCCAAAUUUGUUUCGUAGACCUAGGAACCGUGAGUGAGAUAAUGCUUUAGUGAAUAGGUUAGCAACUUGCUCAGACGAUGGCACAUAUUGAACCGACAUCUAGCAUGCUAGGACUCGAUCUCGGACAAAGUGGACGUCCAGCUUGAUGUGUUUUGUUCAAGCAUGGAAAACAGGGUUCGAAGCAAGAGCAGAGGCACUUCGAUUAUCAUACCAGGCUACAAGAACUUGAGAAAGCUUGAAUCCAAGCUUAGAAAAUAAAGAUUGAAGCCAGGUGAACUUGGUAGCUACAUUGGCCAAGGAGCAAUACUUUGAUUCAGUGCUUGACCGAGCCACAACCUUUUGUUUCUUCCCUGACCAUGCAAUGAAAGACUCAUCGAGGAAGAUGCAGUGACCUCUGAUCAAUCUCCGAUCAUCAGUGUAUGCGGCCUAAUCGGAGUCAGAGAAUCCUUGCAAGGUAUAGUAGAGGAUGGAGAUGAAUUAAGUAAUGAUACGAUAGCUGGACUCUCAGGAGAAUUUAGAAGAGGAGCAGGACCACCUGAAUCUUUUGCUGCAGUAAGUGAUUGAUCAGUGGAAGAAGGACAUGAAGUAGGCAAAGCUGAUAAAAAAGGUUUAAAGAAAACCUUUGGAUUAACUUCAACUUUAUUAGAUAAAUAGCUUUUGAUAGUGAGUCUAUUGAUACCCUUCCAUCAAUUUCAGCUACAAAUUCAACUAAGGUUUUUGAGUACACAGAAAAAUAUGGAGCAGGAGUAUAAUAACAUCAAGCAGGGCCUAACGAUAAUGUAAGUGGUGACAAAAACAAGAGCUGCAGGAAAAAAAAUUGAUGUGUAAUGAAACAAAAAAGGGCAAGCAAUCAAAUCUUCAAAAUUUAUAAGUUAUAUUGGGGUGGUAGCAAAGACUAUUGUGCCUAUCACAGUAAAAUCAUGGCACAAAGUGGAUGAGGCCACGAAGAAUCUUGUUUGGGAUACCGUAGUAGUAAGUUACAUUUUACUAAGUAUAUUUUAGUAUAAACUAUUUUUAAAAUUGAUGCAUCUGAUAUGUUGUUUAUUUUAUUUUACAGUCAGGAUUUGAAAUUGAUGAGAGUAAAAAGGAUUUUGUCCUACAAAAGGCUAGGAGGGCACUACUGUCUUUUAGAUAUUUCAUCACACAGAUUGGGAUGCUAAAUUUAUAGCUCAAGUUUCUCCCUUAUUACAACCUUUAGUAAAAUAAGAGGAUUGGGAUGCUUUUGUUGCCUCACGGCGUGAAAAGUAAUUCAAGGUAUUGGUGUUUCCUAAAUUGCAAGUUUGGUGUUAUUUAUUGAUUGUAUGUUCAUGUACUAAUAAAAUUUUUUAUUAUUAAUUUGUCGAGGAACUGAGUGCUUAGAAUAAAGAGAGAAUAGUGAAGAACGAAUAUCCUUAUAAAGCAGGGAGGUUGGGGUAUAUAGGCAUUGAAUAAAAACAAGCAGAGAAGAAGGGAUCAGAGGUUACCAUAUCUUGCCAUAAGCUCUGGGUAUUAGCACACGCUAAUAAAAAAGGAAUUAUUGACAACCCUCACGUGAAGGAGGUUACUAAAAAAAUUAUAAGUAUUAUACUUAUCUGUCAUUUAAUAAUUGAUUAUGAACAUCCAAACUAAUCAUAUUUACUUUACACAAGAUUCCAUCUCUUAGGAAGUCUCACAAGGCAAUCUUCCUGAGCAUGAGGAUAUCUUGGCUAGGGCAUUAGGGACUGUUGACCACCCUGGUCAUGUCACGGGUAUUGACUUCGAUAUCAUGAAGAAGCAAUAUUUUAGCAAGAUAUAGAAGCGAACAUCAACUUCUUUGUCUGAGGUCCAAGAGCUGAGAGAAAAGCAAGCCAUUAUGAAGCAGCAACUACUAGCCCAGGCAACAUUAUUUGACAUGUUGCUGAAAAGGCAAGUCCCUGGGAGGACUUUGUGUAAGAUUAGCCCUAGCCAGAAAGAUAGCCACACAAUCCCUUCAAAAAAAACCACACGAGGGCGAGAACGACUACAAUUGUUUGGCAGACACUCUUGAACGUAAAGUGGUUGUAACUGAUGUGUGUACAACUGUGUAAGAGUUUUUCUACUUGUUGCAAUUGACCUUAAGUACCCAUUGCCUGUUCCUACCGAUGAGGCACACAUGGUGGCAGAUGCAGUAGGGAGCUUCAUUACAUGGCCUAGCCAUCUUGUAAUGAUGGUAACACCAAAGUUGGCAAAGGACCUAUUGCCUCUAAAAAAAUGUAUGAUUUAAAUAGUUAUUUAUAAUUUUAUAAUAUAAUUAUAAAUAUCUAACUUUUUUGUUAUGUAGCUGAGAGGGAAGAGAAACUUAAAAGUAAGUCAGGCUAUAUCAUAGAGUUAGCCAUAGUUUCGUAGUAUCUAGCAGCACCGGCGCCAGUUAUAGAAUACGAAUACCAUGUCUCUCUUAAGACUUAUGCAAUAGCCAUAAGGAUGGCUCAUAAAGUGGAAAUUGAGGAUGUCAUUAGUUUGAUGAUAGGUAUAUGAAAAACUGAACUCAUUUAAAGUUAUUCAGGAUGAAAUUUUAAAUUAAAUCCUCAAGCACAAAAUAACCAGCACUAGUCUAAUGAGCUUCUACAUGAGGUAUUUCUUCGGUAGUGCUCAAUUAAUUAUUUAAAUUAUAUGUGUGUGUAUACACAUGUGCAUAUAUUAGCCUGGUUAUUUUUUCACCCAAGGCACCUUUAUACCUCAUUUAUGGUUGCUAGUGGCCUCGAGUUGAGAUUUAAGUUAAUUAAUCCCAUAAUGUCUCUGCCUAUAAUAAAAUUACAAAGGAAUCUCUUGAAGAUCAAGUAAGGUAGCUUUCAGAUCAAUUCAAGGAUAGGGGAGUAGACAAUGAUAUUUUAUUUCUCACUCCUUACUGCUAGGGGUGAGCCACUUUCUAGCUAAUUUUGGUACAAGAAAAUAUUUUUUAUAUUUACUUAUUUAAUAACACUUGUAUUUCUUAUUAGGAGGUACUGGAUGCUUAUUGUGAUUAACCAUAUUACUCCAUAAAUUUGGUAUCUUAAUCUUCUUAAUGGAAAAUCAAGCAACAAGGUAGAUAUGGUAGAAAUUUUUAAUAGGUGAGUUGAAUUUUUAUCAAUUUUUAUUUUAAUAUACACACAUAUAGAAUUUCUAACAUUUAUUCUUUACUUCUCUCUUAUAGCUAUGGUAUUGCAACCAACAAGACCUUGUCUCCCAGCUUAAGGACAUUGGACUUUUGUGAGAAAUGGCUCACAUGUCCACUUUAGCCAGAUCAGAGUGAUGACUGUGGCUAUUACUUAAUGAAAUUCUUGGAGGACAUUAUCACCCAUGUCCCUACCACAUUACCUAACAAGUACUUCAAGGAUCCCUAUUGUGUUCGAUAUGUAGCUGCACAUAUAGAAGAAGCCCUUAAAGAGGUAGAUCAAGCCGCAUUCAACAUGUGAAUAGCGAUAGUGGUUAGGCCCAAUAAUUAGUUUUGAUAUACACACCUAUUUUUUUUUUGUCCAAUUUUACGUCUUAAGCCAUUUAGUUUUGAAAUUUUAGCUUGCAAAUUAGGUAAAAUUAUAGAUUUUUUAUGACUUUAGGUUUAGGAUAUAGGAAGAUAUAAGAGAUUAAAGACA
This is a long non-coding RNA of Prosopis cineraria, 3588 nucleotides long. RefSeq lists it as uncharacterized. The transcript is spliced from 6 exons. The record is from RefSeq and is a predicted model, not a curated record. NCBI's taxonomy places the organism in Eukaryota, Viridiplantae, Streptophyta, Magnoliopsida, Fabales, Fabaceae.